UACGUAGGGUGCGAGCGUUGUCCGGAAUUAUUGGGCGUAAAGAGCUCGUAGGCGGUGUGUCACGUCGGCCGUGAAAACCUGCAGCUUAACUGUGGGCGUGCGGUCGAUACGGGCAUCACUGGAGUUCGGCAGGGGAGACUGGAAUUCCUGGUGUGAGCGGUGAAAUGCGCAGAUAUCAGGAGGAACACCGGUGGCGAAGGCGGGUCUCUGGGCAAUAACUGACGCUGGAGGAGCGAAAGCCGUGGGGAGCGAACAGG
This 257-nucleotide ribosomal RNA is filed under the name uncultured bacterium. RNAcentral describes it as "partial 16S ribosomal RNA". It matches the Rfam family "Bacterial small subunit ribosomal RNA", at positions 524 to 776 of the family's 1533-position model. The record is from RNAcentral.